Long non-coding RNA from Patiria miniata (bat star), 1334 nucleotides. RefSeq lists it as uncharacterized. Lineage: Eukaryota; Metazoa; Echinodermata; Asteroidea; Valvatida; Asterinidae. The record is from RefSeq and is a predicted model, not a curated record. The transcript has 2 exons.
UUGAAGGACUGAUUUGUGUACUGUUCAUAAUUAUGCACUUUUGCCAAGGAGUACCUUUGUGACAAAAGCAAAAUAGCCCCCUCUUACAUGUAUUGAUGAGAGGAUUUGCUACAUUUUCUUGUCACUUUCAAUGAACACAAGUAUUAACUUCUUGUAUGUAUUUUUGCAACACGUAAUAAUGUGCAUAAAAACAAGAUAGGCUGAAUUUCUACUGCAUGUUUCCUUUAAAAAAGUGCCUGUCAUCAAACUUGCUCGACAUUUUCACUGCCACGGUAUACCAACAGAAGUGACAUUUCAGUGGCUUGUUGAGAUGCACUGGUAUACUGCAGCUAUAUUCUCCAUUAUAUACACAUGUUUUAAUCACAAUAUUUCUUUUAAAUAAAGGUUUCACCAAGAGACCCAAGUGUGACCGGCCAGACUUAAAUUCCUGUAAUUAUGCUGCCAGGUCCCGUCUGUAAAAUAUUUCUUUGUCGAUGUCUGAUAUUUUUAGCAUAAACAGCGAUGCGAAAGUUGUCGAAGCAUGCGAGCGCCCUCUUGUGUUUUCCGUUGAAUAGAGCAUACAUAGUUGCGUAACAAUUUGCAUAUGACAUGCAGUGCGAAAAAGCCUUUUAUUCCGUGCAGUGUCUCAAAAGCAUAGGGCUUCGGACGCACAUUCCGUGAAUUUUUCACUAGUUUUCUUGGAGAGUAAGCAAGCAUGGGUAGGUCACUUGACUGCUUGUCGUUGCUGCUGCCAGCCACACCUUAUUGCGAGCCAGCUUGUCUAUAUUUUGCUGUUUCUCACGUGGUUUUGCCAUGGUUAGCACGCCGCAUGUGCAUACACAUAUCGUGUACAUGCAUAUCGUGUAGUUUGCCCAAACAUCCCGAGGCAUAGGUACACAGGCCGCAACUGCUCCGCUACUGCUUGUAGUUCUGUGGUUCCUGAUGGUCACAAAUAGAGAAGCCUUCUCGAGUAGACCAGUGUAUCCCUUAUCCAGCAUCCAUAAUAUUUGGGUACGUGUAUAAAACAUUAUUGCUUGAAAUGUGCCUAAGAAAUUGGAGAUUUAGAGAUUAAUGUGUUGUAAAAUUAUUGCAUAGCAAGUGCUUAUGGAGAUUAUUUCUCCUUGAUUAAAUUUUUAUGCCUUUAAUAUUUGUAUGCCUCUCGUAAGAAAUGUACUUGUAAAUUCGCAGCAAAAACAUUUCUAUGGAACAAAUCAAUGGAAAUUGAGGUUUAUAGAACCAGUAAAGCAAUUUCUCAAGAUAAGAUAUAACCAAGGAUAAGGAGAGAUGGUUAUUUCAAAUAAUUAAAUAAUUGAAUAUUGGAUUCAUAGUCAUUGUAUAUUUGUAAAUAAAUUAAU